RNAcentral lists this ribosomal RNA (616 nucleotides) under uncultured bacterium. RNAcentral's name for it is "bacterial SSU rRNA". It matches the Rfam family "Bacterial small subunit ribosomal RNA", at positions 338 to 954 of the family's 1533-position model. The record is from RNAcentral.
CCUACGGGAGGCAGCAGUAAGGAAUAUUGGUCAAUGGGCGCAAGCCUGAACCAGCCAUGCCGCGUGCAGGAAGACGGCCCUAUGGGUUGUAAACUGCUUUUGAACAAGAGAAAACCUCGGUACGUGUACCGAGCUGAUAGUAUUGUUAGAAUAAGCAUCGGCUAACUUCGUGCCAGCAGCCGCGGUAAGACGAAGGAUGCAAGCGUUAUCCGGAUUCAUUGGGUUUAAAGGGUGCGUAGGUGGCCUGAUAAGUCAGUGGUGAAAUCUCUCAGCUUAACUGAGAAACUGCCAUUGAUACUGUCGGGCUUGAGUACAGAUGAUGUGGGCGGAAUAUGACAUGUAGUGGUGAAAUACUUAGAUAUGUCAUAGAACACCGAUUGCGAAGGCAGCUCACAAAACUGUAACUGACGCUGAGGCACGAAAGUGCGGGGAUCAAACAGGAUUAGAUACCCUGGUAGUCCGCACCGUAAACGAUGAUUACUCGUUGUUGGCAAUAUGACCGUCAGCGACCAAGCGAAAGCGAUAAGAAUCCCACCUGGGGAGUACGCCGGCAACGGUUGAAACGUCAAAGGAAUUGACGGCGNGAGAGNGCGACGGACGACGACGAGGGAGGAGG